This 253-nucleotide ribosomal RNA is filed under the name uncultured bacterium. RNAcentral describes it as "partial 16S ribosomal RNA". It matches the Rfam family "Bacterial small subunit ribosomal RNA", at positions 524 to 776 of the family's 1533-position model. The record is from RNAcentral.
UACGGAGGGUGCAAGCGUUAUCCGGAUUCACUGGGCUUAAAGGGUGCGUAGGCGGCCUGUUAAGUCAGUGGUGAAAUCUUUCAGCUCAACUGGAAUUGUGCCAUUGAUACUGAUGGGCUUGAGUACAGAUGAGGUAGGCGGAAUUGACGGUGUAGCGGUGAAAUGCUUAGAUAUCGUCAAGAACACCUAUAGCGAAGGCAGCUUACUAGUCGGUAACUGACGCUGAGGCACGAAAGUGUGGGGAUCAAACAGG